GCAAACUUGGUCAUUUAGAGGAAGUAAAAGUCGUAACAAGGUCUCCGUUGGUGAACCAGCGGAGGGAUCAUUAACGAGUUUCGUACUCCAAGCCCUUUGUGAAUAUACCUGUUUUCGUUGCUUCGGCAGGUGAAGGCGGAAGGCCUCCGGGCCCGAAGCCGCCGCCGGGCGCCCCUCCGGGGGCUGCCGGGUGGGCCUGCCGGAGGGCACAGACUCUGUAUUACAACGUACCUCUCUGAGUUUUAUUUUACAAACAAGUAAAAACUUUCAACAACGGAUCUCUUGGUUCUGGCAUCGAUGAAGAACGCAGC
This 311-nucleotide unclassified non-coding RNA is filed under the name uncultured fungus. RNAcentral's name for it is "partial contains small subunit ribosomal RNA, internal transcribed spacer 1, and 5.8S ribosomal RNA". The stretch from base 1 to 73 matches the Rfam family "Eukaryotic small subunit ribosomal RNA", at positions 1759 to 1831 of the family's 1831-position model. The record is from RNAcentral. Lineage: Eukaryota; Fungi.